Molecule: ribosomal RNA, 429 nt
Filed under: Chloroflexota bacterium
Lineage: Bacteria; Bacillati; Chloroflexota
Description: Chloroflexi bacterium partial 16S ribosomal RNA
Rfam family: Bacterial small subunit ribosomal RNA
Source: RNAcentral
UGGGGAAUAUUGCACAAUGGGCGCAAGCCUGAUGCAGCCAUGCCGCGUGUGUGAAGAAGGCCUUCGGGUUGUAAAGCACUUUCAGCGGGGAGGAAGGCGGUGAGGUUAAUAACCUCAUCGAUUGACGUUACCCGCAGAAGAAGCACCGGCUAACUCCGUGCCAGCAGCCGCGGUAAUACGGAGGGUGCAAGCGUUAAUCGGAAUUACUGGGCGUAAAGCGCACGCAGGCGGUCUGUCAAGUCGGAUGUGAAAUCCCCGGGCUCAACCUGGGAACUGCAUUCGAAACUGGCAGGCUAGAGUGUGGUAGAGGGGGGUAGAAUUCCAGGUGUAGGGGUGAGAUGCGUAGAGAUCUGGAGGGAUACCGGUGGCGAAGGCGGCCCCCUGGACGAAGACUGACGCUCAGGUGCGAAAGCGUGGGGAGCAAACAGG